AGCAGCCGCGGUAAUUCCAGCUCCAAUAGCGUAUAUUAAAGUUGUUGCAGUUAAAAAGCUCGUAGUUAAAUUUCAGGCCUGGCUGGACGGUCCGCCCUUCGGGUGAGUACUGUCUGUGGUCGGGUCCUACCUUCUGGCGAAGCGUCAUGGCCUUAACCGGCCGUGGCGGGGAACCAGGACUUUUACUGUGAAAAAAUUAGAGUGUUCAAAGCAGGCAAAUCGCUUGGAUACAUUAGCAUGGAAUAAUGGAAUAGGACAAUGGUUCUAUUUGUUGGUUUCUAGGACCGUUGUAAUGAUUAAUAGGGAUAGUUGGGGGCAUUAGUAUUCAAUUGUCAGAGGUGAAAUUCUUGGGUUUAUUGAAGACUAACUACUGCGAAAGCAUUUGCCAAGGAUGUUUUCAUUAAUCAAGAACGAAAGUUAGGGGAUCGAAGACGAUCAGAUACCGUCGUAGUCUUAACCAUAAACUAUGCCGACUAGGAAUCGGGCGAUGUUGACAAAAUGACACGCUCGGCACCUCAUG
Molecule: ribosomal RNA, 520 nt
Filed under: uncultured Paraglomus
Lineage: Eukaryota; Fungi; Glomeromycota; Glomeromycetes; Paraglomerales; Paraglomeraceae
Description: SSU rRNA
Rfam family: Eukaryotic small subunit ribosomal RNA
Source: RNAcentral